UACAGAGGGCUCGAGCGUUGUUCGGAUUCAUUGGGCGUAAAGGGCGCGUAGGCGGCGGGGUAAGUCUGGUGUGAAAUCUCGGAGCUCAACUCCGAAAUUGCACUGGAUACUGGUCUGCUAGAGGGCUGGAGAGGAGAUCGGAAUUCACGGUGUAGCAGUGAAAUGCGUAGAUAUCGUGAGGAAGACCAGUGGCGAAGGCGGAUCUCUGGACAGCACCUGACGCUGAGGCGCGAAGGCUAGGGGAGCAAACGGG
RNAcentral lists this ribosomal RNA (253 nucleotides) under uncultured bacterium. RNAcentral describes it as "partial 16S ribosomal RNA". It matches the Rfam family "Bacterial small subunit ribosomal RNA", at positions 524 to 776 of the family's 1533-position model. The record is from RNAcentral.